UUGCCCAGCACAUGGCAAGUAUUCAGUAAAUGUCAGCUGUUGUGUUUCAACCCCAUUGCCUCACAAUGGUGCAGAGAGAUGGGCGCCACUGUUGCCUAUUCACAGAUGGGAAAGCCAAAGCUUAGAGAGCCUCCGGGAGUUGCCAGGAGUUACAUUACUAGGAUUGGAAACCUAGAUAGUUGUGGCAUGAGCAUUCUUUUCUAUAUUCCCAUGGCACAGAGGGAAUACUAGAAGCAAAGCAUCCGUGGUCUCUAAAUCAUACAUAAACUCCAGGCCGGCUUGACUAGUGGCUUCCGUCAGAGGCCAAAGAACCAUGUCUUGUUUCGAACGGGGGAACCAUGGGGAGUGUGGGGCCUGUGAACGGGACAGCACUUUCCCAGUCACUCUCUAACACACAUGUGCGCUGGCACUCAGCACCAGUCAAGUGAGGGUGGAGAAAGACCGUGAAACUUCGGAGUCCCUCGACCAGCUGGGCUUGACAAACGGAUUUGAUGGCUGAGCUGCAGUGGCCAUACUGGACCGUGAGACAACUUUGAGGACAGAAGCCAGAAGUAAGGAUGGUGGGGCAGAGAAAUACAAGAAGCCUGGGUUCUGAUGAAAUCAUGGGACUUCCAAAGGAUUUCUCUAGUCUUACUUUUGAGCUUCUUAUGUGUGGCCUAUUUCUACGACCUCUGAAACCUUAACCAAACUUUACUAAAGUAAGGAAAGCCUU
This is a long non-coding RNA of Neofelis nebulosa (Clouded leopard), 712 nucleotides long. RefSeq lists it as uncharacterized. The record is from RefSeq and is a predicted model, not a curated record. Lineage: Eukaryota; Metazoa; Chordata; Mammalia; Carnivora; Felidae. The transcript has 2 exons.